UACGGAGGAUCCAAGCGUUAUCCGGAAUCAUUGGGUUUAAAGGGUCCGUAGGCGGUUUUAUAAGUCAGUGGUGAAAUCUGGUCGCUCAACGAUCAAACGGCCAUUGAUACUGUAGAACUUGAAUUACUUGGAAGUAACUAGAAUAUGUAGUGUAGCGGUGAAAUGCUUAGAGAUUACAUGGAAUACCAAUUGCGAAGGCAGGUUACUACAAGUACAUUGACGCUGAUGGACGAAAGCGUGGGGAGCGAACAGG
This 253-nucleotide ribosomal RNA is filed under the name uncultured bacterium. RNAcentral describes it as "partial 16S ribosomal RNA". It matches the Rfam family "Bacterial small subunit ribosomal RNA", at positions 524 to 776 of the family's 1533-position model. The record is from RNAcentral.